Molecule: ribosomal RNA, 1564 nt
Filed under: human gut metagenome
Description: bacterial LSU rRNA
Rfam family: Bacterial large subunit ribosomal RNA
Source: RNAcentral
AGCGCGGAGCACGAGGAAUUCUGCGUGAAUCUGCCGGGACCAUCCGGUAAGGCUAAAUACUCCCGAGAGACCGAUAGCGAACCAGUACCGUGAGGGAAAGGUGAAAAGCACUUCGAACAGAAGAGUGAAAUAGUUCCUGAAACCGUGCGCCUACAAGCGGUCGGAGCUGCUUAAAGCAGUGACGGCGUGCCUUUUGCAUAAUGAACCUACGAGUUGCCUUUGCCGGCAAGGUUAAGUGUGACGACACACGUAUCCGAAGCGAAAGCGAGUCUGAAUAGGGCGUAUAGUCGGCAGUGGCAGACGCGAAACCAAGUGAUCUACCCUUGGCCAGGUUGAAGGCUGGGUAACACCAGCUGGAGGACCGCACCAAUAAGCGUUGAAAAGCUUCUGGAUGAGCUGAGGGUAGGGGUGAAAGGCUAAUCAAACUUGGAGAUAGCUCGUACUCCCCGAAAUGCAUUUAGGUGCAGCCUCUUUAUAGUAUAUCGUGAGGUAGAGCGACUGAUUGGAUGCGAGGGCUUCACCGCCUAUCAAGUCCAGAUAAACUCCGAAUGCGCGAUAUAUAUUUAAAGGGAGUGAGGGCGCGGGUGCUAAGGUCCGUGUCCGAGAGGAGAAGAAUCCAGACCACCGGCUAAGGCCCCCAAAUGAUCGUCAAGUUGAACUAACGAGGUCGGAUCGCAGAGACAGCUAGGAUGUUGGCUUGGAAGCAGCCAUUCAUUUAAAGAGUGCGUAACAGCUCACUAGUCGAGCGAUCUGGCGUGGAUAAUAAUCGGGCAUAAACGAUCUGCCGAAGCCGUGGAUGUCGCAAGACAUGGUAGGGGAGCAUUCCAUGCCGCGUCGAAGAUGAGGGAUGACCCUUGUUGGAGCGCAUGGAAAAGCAAAUGUAGGUAUGAGUAACGAUAAGGGGGGCGAGAAACCCCCCCGCCGAAAGACCAAGGUUUCCUGAUCAACGCUAAUCGGAUCAGGGUGAGUCGGGACCUAAGGCAAAGCCGAACGGCGCCGCCGAUGGAAGAAUGGGUUAAUAUUCCCAUACUGCCUCAUGGAGUGACGUGGAGACGGAGAAGUGACAGUCCUGCCGGCUGACGGAAUAGCCGGUUGAAGGGUGUAGAUAUUGAUUCCCGUAGGCAAAUCCGCGGGGAGAGUCGAACCUGAGAGUAUACGGAGCGCUUGCGCAACGUAAUAUGGACGUAACCAUGCUCCCGAGAAAAUCCGCUAAACUUAUCCAUGCGGCACCCGUACCGUAAACGGACACACGUGGUCGGGUUGAGAAUACUGAGGCGCUCGAGUGAUUCACGGUUAAGGAACUAGGCAAAUUGACCCUGUAACUUCGGGAUAAAGGGUCCUCGUCGUAAGGCGAGGCGCAGAGAAUAGGUCCAGGCAACUGUUUAACAAAAACACAUGGCUGUGCUAAAUGGAAACAUGAUGUAUACAGCCUGACACCUGCCCGGUGCCGGAAGGUUAAGAGGAGAUGUCAUCCGCGAGGAGAAGCGUUGAAUUGAAGCCCCGGUAAACGGCGGCCGUAACUAUAACGGUCCUAAGGUAGCGAAAUUCCUUGUCGGGUAAGUUC